GGGAGACGAGUGCUGUUCCCCAAAAAGCUAGGCUGCCAUCUCCGAGCCCUCGGGGCGCCUUCUCGCCAUGGCGUCCGGCGAAUCCCAGAAACAUCUCCUCUCGCUGAUCCGCAAUUUCGCCUCGGAGAAAUCCCAAGAAGAGCUUAGGGUGUCCGAUCGUAAGAAGCGGCUCCUCGAACUUCAGAACGAUCUCAAUGUUGCAAAUGCCGACCUCGAUGGGGCCAAGCGGUCCAGGGAGAUGGUCGAGCAGGAGCUGAGGGGAUCGCAGGUUCAGCUUUCUAUGAUUGGUGCAUCAAUCCAUGCGCAAGAGGCGAGGAUUUCUCUAAUGCAGGAGGAGAUAUUGAAGCUCCGUUCUGAUCUGGAUACACUCAAGAGUGAAGUGCGUUUCAUGCGAGACGAAUUUGUUAACAGUAUGUGCGAGCUGAACAAGAAAAUAAGGCUUUCUAAAAGGUCUUGAAGAUAACAUUACAUGCCUCAGCACUCAGAUGCAUGAGUUGGAAGCAGAGUACGAAAAAGAAAGACAUAAUCGUGAUAAGGUUUGUGAACAGCUUGCCCAUGUUGAAAGGAGAUGGUUUCUUGUGAUGGCCAUCAUGGAAGAAAUGAAGCAGCUGCAGGAACUAGCUGAAUAUCCUUCUUGGUUUGGUUUUAUGAUUAUGCUAACAUGCACAGCAAGCGUAUGCAGCAUGUUCUAUAUACAACAUGCAGUAGUGCCUAUCAACCUGAUGAUAACUCAACCAUAGGAAGAGGGAGAGGCCGCUACAUAUUUCAGAAUGUUUCCCUAACUAUAAAAAGCAGACAUCUGAGUUGGAGAAGGUAUAUGCUUCUCUUGGGGAGGACUUGCAGAAGAGGUGCACAUGUCCAGGCUGUGGAUCAAACAACAUUGAAGACGGAGGGAACUGAAGCCACCUGAGGUAUGUCUUAUCCAGUAUCUGCAAUUCUAGAUACAAGACAUAGGUAAGACCAUGAAGCCAUUGGCAAAUAUUGCGGCUUGCACAGCACAUCUUUGAAUGAUCAUGUCCGGUUUCUUAUAAAAAUAGAAACGAUGCUACCUUAAACGGAUGCAAUUUAACUUCGAAGCAGACUUGUGCCAGAAGGAUGAUAUAUGUUACAUCUUGCUAAGAGGAAAAGUCUGAACAUAUACAGCUUAGAUUGGCUUACACACAAAACCUUGCAUAUUACCAAGUUUCUUUUUGUUUGUUUGAGUGGAAAGGGGAUGAUUCAGGUCUCCAAUAUUUUCUAUAGUUGACCUCGCUAAUCUGCAAAUUUUGAAUUUAAUGUAAAAUGGAAUGGCUAAUGAUAACGAGAAUUAUUGUUUUACAAGUAAUAAGUGUUCCAUUAUAAUGUUUAAUGUAGAGUAGCAGAUAAUGCUUAAGGAAAAAGAGACUUUUUUUUAUUUUGACAAAAGAUAAGUGUUGAAGGUGAGAUUUUAAGCUUUAAGACGUGUGAGAUUACUGUUUGCUGUUGGUGACAGAUUUUUUUUUUUUUUUGGGGGGUUCAUAAAGCAAAAGCUAUAUUAAUUCAAAAUACAAAAUGCUAAACAGUUGCUAAGGAUAAUUGCCCUUUCAAAGCUGAAAGCCAUAAAAAAAAGGGAUUGUAUCUAUUAAUUGAGGUGUAUUCCACGUGGAGCUGCAGCGAAUUAAGUUGCCGGCAGAGUUGUCUACGUGUAUAAAACCUUCUAGCUUUAGUAUUUAUACUUAUCCCUCCGUGUUUAGGUUUAGUUUAUAUACUCUUA
Molecule: RNA transcript, 1732 nt
Organism: Musa acuminata AAA Group (dessert banana)
Lineage: Eukaryota; Viridiplantae; Streptophyta; Magnoliopsida; Zingiberales; Musaceae
Exons: 7
Source: RefSeq, a predicted model, not a curated record